RNA transcript from Ictalurus punctatus (channel catfish), 3619 nucleotides. It is a transcript of the gene named caskin-1, with no coding region annotated. NCBI's taxonomy places the organism in Eukaryota, Metazoa, Chordata, Actinopteri, Siluriformes, Ictaluridae. The transcript has 10 exons. The record is from RefSeq and is a predicted model, not a curated record.
UUUUGCUCUAGCAGGGAGAAUGAUCUCUUUGAUCUUUGAUUAAGAAGAAGACGUGUUUUAGGUUAGAAUGGGUAUCAGCCUUGUGAUCCAUUACACCAUGCUGGAUUUAUUAAAAUUGUGUUGAUGUACUUUAGCUUCAGAGGAAGAAAAUCGAACAAAAUGGGUGGAGAGAAUUCAACACCGACGCCUCCAGAAGACUUUGAAGAAUCAGACUUUGAUGAACCAUGGAGAAAAGUGGACUGGAAGAUUUUUCAACCACGAUUCAGUUAAAUGAAUAAAAAAUGUGAGGAUGGGAGUCCACACCAGCUUAUGUACCUCCACCAACUCCACCAGGGUCACGGGGAAACCUGGAGCCUAUCCCAGGGAGCAUCGGGCACAAGGCGGGGUACACCCUGGGCAGGGUCCCUUAUAUGAUCUCACAUGAAAUUAAGUGAUGUUAUUUAUAUCACAGUUCCUAUGCAAGGCCUUUUUAAAAUAACUGAAAAGUUUUGAUCUUCACUUAUCAGGAUUGUCCCAAUUCACCUGAAGUCACCCUGCACAUUACCUUACAGGGCUCAAUAACCGUGUUGUAUAAUUUUUUAACAAAGUUGAUCAUUAAUAUUAUCCAAUGAUAGCUAGAUGAUUAUCUAUGGCCUUUUGUGUUUGUAAAAUGCUUUUACUUUCCAUUUGCAUUGGAAUUGAGGCCAAAUGAGAGGCUACAUGUCCAUGUCCAUGUCCGUGUGUGUGUGUGUGUGUGUGUGUGUGUGUGUGUGUGUGAGAAUACUGAAGGUAUAAAAGUGGGAACUGGGGAAGCUGCUCUAACAGUCGACCCAGUCAGAAGCUAUUUGCCUCACGUAAUCAUCUUGGAAAAAAAGAGGACGAAGCCUGCAAACUGGUUAAAGAGGACCUAAGAAAGGUCUACACCAGCAAGAAGAUCAGAGAAAAGCAUUGUUCAUCUGGAUUCAUUGAACUGAAUAAAUUGGGAGGGUCUGAGUCUACACCUCAACGACCUCGAACACCUCCACAACCUCGAACACCUUCACCACCUCCAUCGCCUCCAUCCUUACAUAUGUAUAGGGCAGGAUCAACCAAGAUGAGCCUUGUGAUUUGUUUCUAAGCGUGACGUACCGAGAACGCCGCCAUAGCGACUGUGGUCCUGCUUCUGAAUCAGGGGUUUUAGGAAGUGUUCGAAACAUCGCUGCCAUUCUAGAAAUGUCCACAUUAGGAGGCAGAGCCAAAGGAGCUAGCAGGAAUUACUUACAGGCGAGCCCGGACAUCCUCAGAUGAAACCAUGACUCUCUGAGUUCAGACGAAGAGAUCCAGAGUCGCCAUCACACCAUCAGCGGCCCCUUAACUGACUACGAGAUCCCCAUUGCACAGCAAGAGGGCACAGAACAAGGCGAAGUUACCAAAUCUCUGCGAAUUACUGAUGAACCAAUGGAAACACUCCCUGAGAGACCAACCCCAGAGCCCCGCCCCCGCUCCAUGCUCACUCAAGAAGAGUGGUCACGUGUGGAUGCCACGGCAACCUUGAGGAGGCCCCGCACACCUCACGACUCGAGCAGCGAGAGGGUCCAGCUCAACGAGACCAGCACUGUGAGACGACGGCCAAAAGUAAUAGCACCCACUCAGAGGGAUGAUGCGACAGAUGCUGCUAUUCGUGUAAGACCUGUAUCAGAGGUGGAACAUGUAUAUCGGGAAAGUGAUAUGAGCGAGGAUUUCCGGCGAGCGCUGAAGCCUCCAGUUUCCCCCAAACCAUCUUUGGGCCUCAGGAAGCCUGAGCCUCCCACCCCAACCAGGAGAGUCCCACUUCCAGGACCGGAGAACCAACACAGCACAGUGGAGGGCAAAAGAGUUCCACCGCCUGUGUCUCCAAAGCCAAGCCCUCCUCCUACACUUCCUAAACCAAUCAAAAUGAAGCCCUUACCAACACACACACUUACCCCACCCAGUGACCUAAACACACACCCACACUCCUCUACCAUUCUCCCCGAGCAAGUGGAUCAUCCUAUACUCAGUCCAUCAACCCCGACCCCCAAACCAGCAGAAUCUCACACUUUGUCCCCAUGACCUUUGACAUCUCCCGCUCAGAGCCCCCAAACCCCCCAAACUCCUUCUACCCCUGGGUGCGGAUCUGCCCCAGUCAAACCCCCGAGAUCUUCCAUGGCAGGGCUGUCAGUGGACAUUCCCAGCCCUUUUGAGGCAGAGCCACGAGAGGUGGAAAAACACAACGAGGAUGACGAGCAAAAGAGACAAAGGAAAGAGAUAGCAGUGAUUAAGGGGCAAGAGAUGGGAACUUCCAGCGAGGUCACAAAGCUGACAGAGGGAUCAGAGCAGGUGCUGAUGAGGCAGAGGAAAGUGGGUGUGGCCAGACAGAUGCAGAUCGAAGGAGACAUCGAAAGCACAACAGAAGAUGGCGUUGUAACUGCAGAUGAAAUUCGACAGAGGGCGCCAAAUGUCAGCGGAACGGAUGAAGGCAGAAUUCAUGGAGAAGAAGAAAUAAACCAGCUAAGGCUGGACGAGACCAGUGCCUCCUUAGCUGCAGCACUGGAGGUUGUAGAGGAAAGGAUCAUGACCGAAGACAAUUCUGAAACGGAGAAUAAAAGCACUGUCAACAUUCUUGAUGAUAUUGGAAGCAUGUUCGAUGACCUCGCUGACCAGUUGGAUGCCAUGCUGGAUUAAAAAUGAAAAAGAAAAAAAAAGCACAAAAUAAAUCGUAAACAGAAAAGCACAGCAUCGUCUUCAUCUGAGCGCCUGAUCUGUUUAAAGCCACGCUUCAAUGAAUAAACAAAUAAACACUGAUUUGUUGAUCUUAUCAAGGAUUUUUUUUUUUUAAAAGGACCUACUGGAAGGCAGAGAUCUUGGGUUUAAAUCGUUAAAUCCAUGAAACAUCGACAUCAACAUCGUUUGGUGAAGGUUUUGGAGCCAGGACGUACGGACUGUUCUCAUGCUGCUUCCAGAGAUAAGCACAAUUAAAUGCUAACAAACUAUUUAAACAUUGUUAAGGUCAAGAAAUGCUAGCAAUGUGUCAGAGUGUGUGUGUGUGUGUGUGUGUGUGUGUGUGUGUGUGUGUGUGUGUGUGUGUGUAUUUCUAUGUGUGUACUAUGUUUGGGCUUUCCUUCACUGGCGAUCGACAUUUGUGUAUUCAUUUUUCAAUAAUAAUUGGAAUCACCAUUUUUGUGCUUUAAUGUUGAGUUGGAUACCCAGCUAUGACGUUUUCAAAGGGGAACAGAGGACAAAAUUUUGGAGGGAAAAAAACCCCUGAUUGAUAUGUUAAGGAAUACGCUAAAAGUCGAGGAACAUUGCUAGCUAGCUGAAAUAUUUCACAAUAUUUAGCAAAUAUUAGCACAAUAUUUCAUCUUUUCAUCUGAAAGACUCUGUCUCUCUAAGAUCCUCUUUUUAUACCCAAUCAUCUCACUGACCUGAUCCCAAUUAACCUCCAGCUGUUUCUUUUUUAGUAACACUUACUUUUCCAGCCGUUUGUUGCCCCGUCCCAACUUUUUUGAGACGUGUUGUGGCCAUCAAAUUCAAAAUCACCUUCUUUUUUAUUUCUUAAAAUGGUACAUUUGCUCAGUUUAAACAGUUGAUAUAUUUUCUAUGUUCUAUUGUGAAUAAAAUAUGGGUUUAUGAGAUUUGCAAA